UGACCUGCGGAGGAUCAUUAUUGAAAACAACGGGUAAAGGUUGUAGCUGGCCUCUCGGGGCAUGUGCACACCUGAGCCAUUUUCAUCCAUACACACCUGUGCACUCACUGUGCGGGCCCGUAACAAAGGCCCGCACGUCUUAUCACCUACUUUGCAUGUCUGAUUAGAAUGUAACCUUUGACGUCACUGCCUUAAAAAAGUGGUUGACGAAAAAUACUUAAUACAACUUUCAACAACGGAUCUCUUGGCUCUCGCAUCGAUGAAGAACGCAGCGAAAUGCGAUAAGUAAUGUGAAUUGCAGAUUUUCAGUGAAUCAUCGAAUCUUUGAACGCACCUUGCGCUCCUUGGUAUUCCGAGGAGCAUGCCUGUUUGAGUGUCAUUAAAUUAUCAACCGCGGAAGGCUUUUUCUGGUCUUUCGGGGCUUGGAGUUGGAGGCUUUGCCGGCGUGAGUCGGCUCCUCUUAAAUGUAUCAGCGAAAUACAAACCUUUUGUUGGCUUUGGUGUGAUAAUCACGUUGCGCCGUCGCUUGAAGGUGUUAAAGAGUUUCGCUUAUAAUGGUCUUCGGACAAAUAAAACCAUUGAAUUUGACCUCAAAUCAGGUAGGACUACCCGCUGAACUUAAGCAUAUCAAUAAGCGGAGGAAAAGAAACUAACAAGGAUUCCCCUAGUAACUGCGAGUGAAGCGGGAAAAGCUCAAAUUUAAAAUCUGGCGGUCUUGCGGCCGUCCGAGUUGUAAUCUGGAGAAG
This 746-nucleotide ribosomal RNA is filed under the name uncultured fungus. Its description in RNAcentral is "eukaryotic LSU rRNA". The stretch from base 225 to 379 matches the Rfam family "5.8S ribosomal RNA". The record is from RNAcentral. Lineage: Eukaryota; Fungi.